This 200-nucleotide long non-coding RNA is filed under the name Gossypium barbadense (sea-island cotton). RNAcentral describes it as "long non-coding RNA (GBAR_LNC006493)". The record is from RNAcentral. Lineage: Eukaryota; Viridiplantae; Streptophyta; Magnoliopsida; Malvales; Malvaceae.
GCCUUGCCCAUAUUAACACAUUUGGGCCCAUUUCAAUACGGCUGGUCCACAACAAAAUAGUCUCAUAUGAUUAAUGCAUGAUAACCCCAUCAACCCUGCACUUGCCUCUGUCUAUCCCUACACUUCCUAUGGAGAAUAAAUCACCCACGCCAUCCCUACACUUACAGUGUUAGCACCGAUUGCGGCACUAACUAUAAUCC